CAGUUAUUCAGUUAGUGCUGUACUUGGAGUAGCAGCGAGGGUAGUGAUCGUACUCUUUCCGCAGAAACACCAAUUUUAUUGACGCAUAAUCAAUAGUUACUUUUUCUUUCAUUCUCGUACUUGUGUAUUAUGAACAUUUAAGGAACGAAAUUUUAGUAACGCUAUUUUACCUGAGAGAUCGUAUCAGUUCAGUGAGACGAAAGAGUGUUUCGACAAAGGAACUGAUACCAGUGCGAAUAUGCCUGGAGUCCAUUCCCAAGUGAGAGUGGUUAGUGUGAAGGUCCAAAAACCAACGCUAAGGCUUCGAUGUUGUAUAACGUUGCUCAUUUCGUUAGCAUUCGGAUGUAUCAUAAGUUUAUGCAUUUGCGGAGCAUUCAUUGUAAAUCCUUACCUAAAGAUACAUUUUUUCGAGGAAACAACCUGUACGACUACAAACGUAAAAUGGGAGUAUAAGUAUGCCAAAUGCUGUGUCGAAGCUGGAAACUUGGAAACAUGUGUAGAACCAGGGCCUGCAGUGGCGGGGUUCCCUUGCCUAGAGAUAACCGUCAGUGUCGAAGAGGAUGGUAAAUCGCACUCAGCGAUUGUUUACAAGGACGAUAAGACUUGGGGCAUGAAAACAAAUUGUUCCUACCCGCUGUGCGACUCUUACCAAUAUGUAGGAAGCGAUCCUAACUUUGAAGCCUCUGCUUUCGCUGAAAAAUACAAGGAGGGCAGUUCAUACGCUUGUUUCUACAAUCCCAACACAGGUGGUGAGGUUAUAAUUAAUCAAAGUGUCAGUCGUAUGAUGGUGUUCCACAGUAUGUUCUGGCCAUCGUUGAUACUUGUACUGAGCAUCGUCAGCUAUUGUUUCUUUGCGACGAGGCUGAAUAAUGAAAGCAGAAAAAUGCCUGGUUUUACAAGACUCUAAAAAGAAUCUAAAUCGUAAAUUUGAGGUUUCUGCAAAUAUGGUGUCACAAAAUAAUGACAUAUUCUGAUUUUUAUUAAAAAAUAAAUCGGAAUCAAUUUAUUGAAUAUAUUUCACCCAGGCCCAUAAUAAAAUUAUUAAGAUUAUUGUUAUAAAAAAAGAAUUUUCAGUGAGGGAGCAUUACUCAAAAGAUCAAUCUGAGAACCGACAUUGACGUGAGCAGAAGAUAUUUUAAAUGUUUUCAAGACAAUGGACUGUGAUCCGUCUGUCCUGUGUUGGAUUUGGUACGCCAUCUGUAUAUAUAGUUCAAGAGGCAGCAAGAUGUAUAACACAAGCCAGUGAUGUCAUUGAAUACCUUGAACAUCAAUUGUCUGUAUCCUUGUGCCAAGUGCCUUAAUAAUAUUCUCAAUGCUGUUUCAAGUAAAUAACUGAAAUUGCAGUAAAACCCAUGCCUUUCAUUUGUAAUUGAAAAGAUUUCUAUUUUACGAUAAUGGUUAUUUGAUGGUUUAAGUCCAUAAUAUUUCUUGUACAGUACUGUAUGAGGUCAAAUUACACAGUUUGAGGUUUUCAACCUUCCCAUUUAUUUAUAUUCAAAUUAUUUUUAUAGAAUUAUUGGUAUACUGUAUGUUGGCCAGUUAAAAUAAAAUAAUUUAUUUAUUGAUUUUGUAUUUACUUCAAUCAGAGGGAUGGUAAUGGCUUUAUACAUAACUGUAAAUUCUCUUCUCAUAAAAUAAAUAAACAUUCGUAAUGUUUUAUUAUGCAAUGAUAAUUUUAUUAAUGAAUACAACGACUUGUUGGUACUUGUCAUUAAAUUUUGUAGUAUAUAUAUUUAUACACUGAUCAAUGUAAAGUGCAUUUAGAUUCAAAUUUCUCUCUAUUGGCCUUCCUGUGUACUGCUACUAUACUUACCAUGACCUCAUUGACGAUAUUUUAUGGGUUUGGUAUUUUCAUCUAAUCUCUUGUAUUUCAUACUCUCAAAUGGCACAUAGUAUCCAUAGAGAUAACGAAUUAGAGUGCUAACUAGACUUGGUAAAAUGAGCAUUUUGUCUCAUAUCGCCAAAAUGCGUUUUUGAACAAGAACAUCACCAUCCAGAAUUGGCUAGAGUAAGCUUUUUUGUCGCUCAGAAUUGCGCAUGUAUGAAAAUGUCAUAAUUCUUUUUAAUUAAAAAUUGACAUUGUGUGCACCCAUAAGUUUGAAUAUGGAAAUACACCAUUCAAAUGUGCAAUGUAGUAAAUUUAGUUACAACUCUUUGAAACCAUGACAUUUUGCAGGAGAAAGCUUUGCAUUGGAGUUAUCACUCCAGUAAAUUUGUAUAAUACAGGUACCUCUGUAUGACAAUAUUUCAUCCUUCUAUUGUUUAAUGAUAUUGUUACAGUCAGUGGUGGCAGGAUUCACUCCAGGAUUUUAGGUUUCUCUUUGAUUUUGACAAUAAAGUUCAAAGAUCAGAAAUUCAAAACCAAACUUCGGAUUGUGCAAAUAAUUUGCAUACAACUGCAGUUGUUUUUUUUUUUUUUGGGAUAAUAUCCAAAUUUUACAAAGCGCCUCCAAUUUCAAAUGCACAACAAAAGCAUUUUUCAAACUAUUCUUUUUGAAACAUGUUUAAUGUAAUCUAGAGCAUAAUAAUGAUGAUGAUAAUAAUAAUAAUAAAUAACAUUUUUAUAGUGCAAAAGACAGUUAGUUUUGAAGCACUUGGAAUUCCCAGUUCUGUACUAGGAGUACCACACCCAUUUCAUAGGCCAAGGUCAAUCAAUAGCCGAUUGAUUAUAAAAACAAAUUCUUACUACUGUAGGAUAGAUCUUGCCAGUGGCGGAUCUCGUGGGGAGGAGGAUCUGAGCAUGAAAAUUUGCAAAAUCAUUGUAUUGGUACUAUAUUCAUAAUAAGUAUGCUCUGUUCCUGUUCCCCAACAUACCCCUCUGUAUACAAUCCUGUACAAUACCCUGUGACAUGACAGGCAUCGACUAACUGUUAAUAAUUCCUCCAUGUACUGUACAGAUUUAAUGUGCGCUUCCACUGCCUUCCUUCCGCUGCGGAAUUUUAGGCAAGUAUAGGCAUUGUUACUAAUUAGGAAAUUGACACAUUUUGAAAUUAACAGUGAGUGUAGUGGAAAUGUUUGCUGGUUGUUAAAAUGUACUGUACCUUGAAAUCAAAUUCCCAUUCAAACCAAAAUGGUUCAGUACUUCAAAAAGAAGUAUUAUCCACCUUAUUAUUCUGUAUUUAAGCUCAAUGAUAUGCAUAUUUUAUUAAAUUUGUACUACAUAAUUGUUUUACUUGUUUUAAUUGACAAAUGUUGGGGUAUCUUAAUUAAAUAUUCAGUAUUGUGUGUUACUUUUAUUUAUUUAUUUAUUUUAUUUUAACAAUAUUUUGUGAGGGUGGUCCAUCCAGCCUGAGCUGAUCAAUUGGGACCCUCAGUACAUACAAUUAAAACAUAAGUAUAAAAAUUAAACUUGAUCUUUAACAUAAGCAAAUUAAUUAAAUUAAACCAGGAAAAAAUUAAUAAUAAUAAUAAUAAUAAAAAUCAGAAAAAGUGUUGUACUGGUAGUAAGCUAUCUAUGCAUAGGAAGGUUCUUCAAAAUUUUACAUUUUAUCAGUCUUUUCAAAUGAAUUGGUAAUGCCUUGAUAUAGAUUUAGAUACAUUAGAGAAUAGUGCCUUUUCAACAAGGUCUCAGUUGUCAGCUUUAGAAGUAGGAUUUUUAAUACAGUGACUCAAAGUGCCCUCUUUCUCUGUUAGUCAUAAUAUUGUACAGUAUAUAUUUUUUAUUAUUCAUGCAGUUAACCUUUUUAUUACUUGAAGUCUGUAUGCAAGACAUUGUUGCUAUGAAAUAAUUAUGACUGUCGAUAUAGAGAUUUCUUUUUUGUAUCUAUACCAAUCAUUUUGAUAUUGUUGUUUCUGGGGAGAAGAGUGCUGUAAAAUGGUCUUAAAAGUGUAGUUAAGGAGGUAGUUUUAAUUAGUCAAUAAUAGCCAGGUUUGUUUCUUAGAUGGUCUUAUAGUCACCACUGUAUUAGACCAUUGUAUUGAAAUACUAAAAAUUACAAUUUUCUUUUAUUGCCCAAGUCUAUUAUAAUGUGUGUUACUUGCUGAUGAGUACAAUGAAAAUAUGAAGAAAAACAAAGCUGUUAAACUUGGGCACAAUAAUGGUAUAGGCACUUCUGCAAAGCGCCCUCCUUUUUUAAAUUACUUGUCAACGUUCACACAGGAAUCCAUAUUGAUAAUCAUUUCAAUAACCUCUGUGUAGCAGGCUGAAAUAUCUACAGUAGCCAGCUGAUUUAAACCAUUGUAUACUGUAGCAAUGGCCUAUAAUUAUUGCAUUCACAGCCUAAGUAUAAAAAACAUCACUAGCCAACUUACAGAAUCCAACCUGGAUGAACUGAACUAUACACCUAAAUUCUUAAAUUAUUUAUUGAAAAAUUGUUAGGAAUAUUUACAGGCGUCAAGCUGAUCCGUCAACAUUGGUAUUCUGUGUGCUGCACCCUGCAUUGUAUUUGAUGCUCAAUUUGCAUUUAUUCACUGGAGGUGUUGUAGUUUUGUAAACAUUUGUAUAAUUGUUUGAAAAUUGCAGAUUAUUUUUGUUGUGAUGAUAAUAAUAUAAAAUAAUACUAAUAACAUUAAUGAUAAUACUAAUACUAAUGAUACUAAUAACAUUAACUAAUGUUACUAAUAACAUUAAUGAUAAUACUGUAUAUAUCAUAAUUAUGUUUUAAUAAUAAUUAUUAAUAGAAUGUUAAUUAUUAUAUGUAUAUUAUUAAUUUUAUUAUUAGUUUUGUAAUGAUUUAUUAUUAUGCUUAUUAUUGUGGUAACUACAAUAUUAUUAAUACUGUAACUGUUCAAAGAACUUUAACUGGUUUUGGUAUAUUUACUUUACAAUUGUUGGUAAUGAUUAUUUUAUUAUUAAUAUAUUAACCUUAUUAUUAUUAUUAUAUUAUAAUUAAUAAUAAUAAUAAUGCUAAUAUUGUUAAAUGUGCCUACAAUUUUAUGAAGUUUUUGUAUAUUAAGCCGUUUUAAUUAUACAGUAAUAACCUCCGAGCUAAUAUUAUUGUUAUAUUGUUCAAGUAUUACAACAUGUUAGAGUUGGAUCGUUACUUCCAGUUGUUCUUAAUGUUAUUUAUCAUCAUCAUUGCAUUUUUUAUCUGAUGAAAGAUAUACUAUAUGAAUAAAUUCUAAGGUUGCGAAUCUGAUAAUCACAAAGUAUGCUCAAUGUAAAAUGUUCAAUACUGUAGGUGGCAUGCUUUAAGAAAUGUAAUAAUAGUAAUAACUAAUGUUUUAUUAUAAGAACUGAAUUCUGAUUUGUAAAUAAUGAUCUUUUUCUGCUGUACAAUAUGCUGUUUUGAUAAUAAUAGUGAUAAAUAAGGAUUUAUACAAUUACAGUAAUCAGUUUCUUAUUUUGACUGUUAUAAAUGAAGCUUCCUGGAGUUAAUUAAGCAUGUUCUGAUCGCAAGAGAUAGCAAUAGCUCAUGGUAUCAAUUACUUGAAGUGCCUUGUGUUUGUACCGAUACAUCUUAUUUUAGAGUGUUGAUGUCUUGACCAAUUUGGAAUUGAAAUUUUGUAAUUCUAGUCUUUCAUGUUGUCUUUCACAUACACAUUUUUAUAAAAAUCGACAAACAUUUUGACAGUUGAUCCCUAUCCCAGCCCCUUCAAUCUAGUUUCCCACCUUCUUAGUAGAAGUGCCAGCAGGGUUCAAGGAAGAAUUUCCCACGUCUGGAUAAAGCUACGUUCACAUCAAGCCCGGAUUCCGGUCUGGAGAAAAAAUCAUGAAAAAUUGGAUCAGUUGUAAAGAAUAGGAACGUUCACAUCAAAUUUGUAUGAUUUUCAAUCCGGAGUCCAGAUCCGGACCGAUGGAUCUGAGAGCCAUUUGUAUCCUGAAAUCUUGGACAAAUCAGCAACAAACUUGGUUGGUUCGAAGCAAUCGAACGCAUACGUACUUAACCCGAACAACUGUGUUCCGUGUGCAAUGUGAAUGCAGCGUUAAAAAAACAUAGCAAUUCACAAAUUAUUUUAACCCAGAGUUCCUUCCCUCUCCAUCUCCUUUCUUCAGCACCCCUUCCUACACAUUUGGUUUCUUCUCCCAUCACUUCUUAUCUAUAUUCUUUAACAAUUCAUAUUCCUGCAUUCAUGUCCCAUCCCUUGUAUUAGAUUCAUGCAUUUCACAAGCAUCAACAUUGUGUGUACUCCUUUAUUGUUAAUAGUUUACUUGAAAUUAAUGUUAAUUUUAAUAUGUUUGCAGUAUAAUUCGCACGCAACUCAAAUUUAUGGUUUUAAUGAGAAUGUGCAAUGGCGUCUUAAUUAAAAUAGCGUUUUUUAAGUUUGAAAGGUGAUAUGUAUAUUAUUUUGAAAAUUUCUUUUUAAAAAAAUUGAUUUUAAAUUUGUUUUAAAAAAAUUUCUUUUAAAGUUGUUUAUAUAAAAAUUGAGUUUAAUGAACCCAUAAUUGGUAAAGAUAAAAAGUGUUCUGUUACUUUUAUUUAAUUUAAAUGUGUAAUUACAAGAAAAAUGUUUUUUGUUACAUUUUAACAAACUUAAGGUUUUAUUUUCAAGAAAAUACAACAACCUAUUUUGUUACUGUUUAAAAAAUCUGUCAUCUUUGUUGUUUUUGGUGGAAAAUUGAUAGUCUUCCAAAGUUCUUGUUGGCAAAAUUGAAUAAAAGAAGCUUUCAAUUAACAAAGA
Anneissia japonica is the source of this 6561-nucleotide long non-coding RNA. RefSeq lists it as uncharacterized. Lineage: Eukaryota; Metazoa; Echinodermata; Crinoidea; Comatulida; Comatulidae. The transcript has 2 exons. The record is from RefSeq and is a predicted model, not a curated record.